This is a non-coding RNA of Lasiosphaeris hirsuta, 73 nucleotides long. The record is from the annotation of a GenBank genome assembly. NCBI's taxonomy places the organism in Eukaryota, Fungi, Ascomycota, Sordariomycetes, Sordariales, Lasiosphaeriaceae.
GGUCUGCUGGUGCAAUUGGUAGCGCGUGCUCUUCCAGAACGAAAGGUUAUCUGUUCAAUGUAGGUGUGGGUCA